Molecule: ribosomal RNA, 325 nt
Filed under: uncultured bacterium
Lineage: Bacteria
Description: bacterial SSU rRNA
Rfam family: Bacterial small subunit ribosomal RNA
Source: RNAcentral
UUGACGGUACUGUAAGAAUAAGGAUCGGCGUAACUCCGUCGCCAGCAGCCGCGGUAAUACGGAGGAUCCAAGCGUUAUCCGGAAUCAUUGGUUUAAGGGUCCGUAGGUGGAUUAGUAAGUCAGAGGUGAAAUCCUGCAGCUCAACUGUAGAACUGCCUUUGAUACUGCUAGUCUUGAGUCAUUAUGAAGUGGUUAGAAUGUGUAGUGUAGCGGUGAAAUGCAUAGAUAUUACACAGAAUACCGAUUGCGAAGGCAGAUCACUAAUAAUGUACUGACACUGAUGGACGAAAGCGUGGGGAGCGAACAGGAUUAGAUACCCUGGUAG